AAAGGGGGCGGGACACUGGAGAGAAACGGCUCCCGAAAGGGGCGGGACCUAUGGAAAUUGAGUGGCUUAUGGGGCGGGGUUUGGAGAGAGGCGGGCCAAGGGGGGAGGGGGAGAGCCUAGGGAGGAUUCACCGUCGGGGGACAGGAGUAAUCCCUGGCCCUCUUUGGGCCCUGUGCCCUCCUUGGCCGCGCUCACCCAGUAGCCGCCCAGGCCGGUGCGCGUGCAGUCGGUCUGGACAUCCCGCAGGAAGGGCAGGUGGUAGUACUUGGAGAACAGCAGCAGGAUGACGCCCUGCAUCCUCACACUGCUCACCUGCAGCGGGAGGCGACGUGGCUGGGGAGUGGGACACACUCCCCCGGCCCGCCCCCGCCUUCUCCCUGGGCCCCCUGCCUCCCAGAGGUGACUGAGGAUGGUACCAGCACAGAAGGGUCUUCUCCUUCCUUCUCUCCCCAGCCACCCUGACCCAAACCCACUGCAAGGGAGGUCAUGCUGUGUGGCCCCUACCUGGGAAAUGUCUCGAGGUAUAGAGGGUGAUACAGGAUAACCGUGCGAAGGUGGAGGAGCUUGAAGAAUGGGCCCUGAAUGGUCAAGCCAAUGAGAAAUUCCCAUUCCCCCAGCCACACCACUGGAUCGUGGAUGGACUAAUGAAAUAUAAGGAGACUUGCUGAUGGCUUUUGAGAAAGACAGUUUGUUUUCUCACCUGAGAAGGUAACCAAAAAGAUGACCUCUCUCCCAUUAUAUAUGAAUGAAAAUGCCUGUAGCUCUGGUUACUGCAGCAGCUAUCCUGACAGAAUACAGGGAACUCGCCUAAGGUUAAGCUAACACUGUAAAAAGUAGA
Long non-coding RNA from Loxodonta africana (African savanna elephant), 838 nucleotides. RefSeq lists it as uncharacterized. The record is from RefSeq and is a predicted model, not a curated record. NCBI's taxonomy places the organism in Eukaryota, Metazoa, Chordata, Mammalia, Proboscidea, Elephantidae. The transcript has 3 exons.